AAAUUAUAAAUAUAAUACAUAUUGUCUCAUAAGUGUAGCUCAAAUGGUAGCUAUCAGAGAUAUAAUUGUCACUACAAGAAAUUUGAUUUUUGGCAGCGCCUUUUUUUGUUACAAGCCGUUGACAAAAACUACCUUGUAGUGUGUAGUAGCCGGGGUUUGAAUCCCGAAUUCCUUAUUUUCGACAUUUAAAUGUGUGAAUCUAUCCAUUGAAAUACUUCACAAAAAAAUAAAAAUAAAUACAUGUUGUUACAUUAUAAUAGGAGAAUGGAUUCUCUUAUAAUAGAGGUGCAUCUGUUGUAAUGACAGUUACCGACAUGAGUUAGCAAAAUCAGUUCCCAAUAUAAUAUCUCACACCUGGAAAAAAUACAAAAUCAGUUCCCACACAUAAAUUAUAAGAGAAAAAAAUAUAAAAAAUAUACUUAUUAAUAAAAAUAUAAUAAUUUGAAAUAUAUUUUUUUAUAUAUUUUUUUUAAUAGUUGCAUAGGAAAAUAUAAAAAUAGUUUUUAUUAGUUAUUGAUUAUGAAUAAGAUAAGAGAGUAAAUUAAAUGCAGUUUGCAUUUAAUUUUAAGAGAUUUUUUUUCCUUAUAUUUUGAGACAGGAGUAUAAUUUAGGAAAGACAACCGACAAACAAAUAAAGCAAAGUGAAAAUAUAAUCGGAAAAUGCAAGCCUCUGCUAGAAGAAACAAUUAAUCUCUGCGACGACGUCCGACAUCCAGAGAAUGGAAGCCUUUGUUACUUAAAUGGUAUUUUGGUCCUUCUCUUUCAUAAAAUCUACAAUUUUGGUCUCUUNUUUUUUUUUUUUUUCACAAUUGGUUGGUGCUUCAAUUGAUAAACAAUUAAUCUAUGGGGAAAAUUAUCACAUAAAAUUGGCCAUGAGAUUAAACAAGCUCAUGAGAUUUUGUUAAUUGUUAUAUCCUAAAAGAUAUAUAUAAACUUUAUUAACUCACAAUAUUCGUUCAGACACGUCCAAAUAUUGCGACCUUCCGAUUUUGGACAAUCACUUGUAGAUUUGCAGGGCAAUUUGCCUACAUUGUCAAAUAAGAAAAAAGGAAAGUUAGCUUGUUCAAAAAAAAAAAAAAGAAAAAGGAAAGUUACUAAGAGGUUAUAUAAUAUUUGUGUAUAAGAUAUGGUGUGAAAAAUGACAUACUUGUAUUACCAACGGAUACGGAUUCAACAAGAAACAUCGAAAGAAAGAUGAUCAAAACAUAAAUAAACAUGGACGUUUUAGCCAUGUAUUUCUUAUUUUGUAUAUAUAAAUUAAUGAAAUGUUUUCGAAUGCUUUAUAAGAAAUUUUUN
Molecule: long non-coding RNA, 1296 nt
Filed under: Trifolium pratense (red clover)
Lineage: Eukaryota; Viridiplantae; Streptophyta; Magnoliopsida; Fabales; Fabaceae
Description: long non-coding RNA (TPRA_LNC003540)
Source: RNAcentral